CCCGCCUUCCGGCCAGCGGAAGUCGCUAGCUGCUCUUCCCCGGCCACGUGGAGCCUUUUCCGGUGCGCCCGCCCCCUCCGGCUCUCCGAUCCGGACCUGGCCCUCACCUCAGGAUUCCCAAUGUGCCUCCGGACAGACAUAUCUGCUCCAAACGACCACGCUGGGAUUCUAGCCUCACCGGAUAUAUAUAGAGCCGCAACUCUCAUUCCAAGAGGACUCUGAGGAGCCAACCUGAAUCUCAGAAUGUUCUGUCUCGGUGGGAAGGAGGAGUCAGCCGUGAGGCCCAGAGGCACAGGACUUGCCUGAGACUGAGGCUGAUUCCAGGAGAAUCAAGGACCACAACCUGCCUUCCAACACAGCCUAGCAACAAGCAGCAAGCAGUCUGUUGCCAAGGAGAAGGCAAGACUGUGGAGAGAAACCCCACGGAGUGGUGCAAAU
This is a long non-coding RNA of Mustela lutreola (European mink), 438 nucleotides long. RefSeq lists it as uncharacterized. Lineage: Eukaryota; Metazoa; Chordata; Mammalia; Carnivora; Mustelidae. The record is from RefSeq and is a predicted model, not a curated record. The transcript is spliced from 3 exons.